UUGGAGCGGGACGAGCUAUUGCAGAAUCCAUUUCUUGCCUUUUACCAGAGAUGGCCGUGGCUACGCCCAACAUGCUCCAUUUAUCAAUCUUUGGACAUCAUAUUUCGCAAAUGCUC
Molecule: small nuclear RNA, 116 nt
Organism: Exophiala oligosperma
Lineage: Eukaryota; Fungi; Ascomycota; Eurotiomycetes; Chaetothyriales; Herpotrichiellaceae
Rfam family: U5 spliceosomal RNA
About the family: U5 RNA is a component of both types of known spliceosome. The precise function of this molecule is unknown, though it is known that the 5' loop is required for splice site selection and p220 binding, and that both the 3' stem-loop and the Sm site are important for Sm protein binding and cap methylation.
Source: Rfam